This 180-nucleotide ribosomal RNA is filed under the name uncultured bacterium. Its description in RNAcentral is "partial 16S ribosomal RNA". It matches the Rfam family "Bacterial small subunit ribosomal RNA", at positions 1320 to 1500 of the family's 1533-position model. The record is from RNAcentral.
AUGAAGUUGGAAUUGCUAGUAAUGGCAGGUCAGCAUACUGCCGUGAAUACGUUCCCGGGCCUUGUACACACCGCCCGUCACACCAUGAGAGUUGGAAAUACCCGAAGCCUGUGAGCUAACUUAAAGAGGCAGCAGUCGAAGGUAGGGCCAAUGAUUGGGGUGAAGUCGUAACAAGGUAAC